Molecule: long non-coding RNA, 956 nt
Filed under: Trifolium pratense (red clover)
Lineage: Eukaryota; Viridiplantae; Streptophyta; Magnoliopsida; Fabales; Fabaceae
Description: long non-coding RNA (TPRA_LNC007610)
Source: RNAcentral
AGUAACUCUUUUGUAAUGUCAAGCUAAUGCAAUGAUAUUCUAUUGAAACCCUAGCCGCCUCUUUCUCUUUUCCUAUUUGUGUAUCUCUAAUUUUAACAUGGUAUCGAGAGCUUGUUUUGAUCCUCCUUAGAUUGUAUUUUGUUAUUCCGCUGCCGAGUUCCCAAAAGUUUGGGAAUAUUGUAUCAUUGGUUUGAUUGAAUUCUUGGGUAUUUUGAAUUAUUUUGUUAGAUAUUUCUCAUGUUGUUUUGAAAGAAUCGGCUGGAAAAGAGUGUUGUGGCUUCUUUGAUUUUGCAAGCAUCGGUAUGCUGUGGAAAUUUGCGUUUCACUCCUUCAGUGGAUUUGUUUCGGUAGCUUCAAUUACCUUUGUUGGUCAACAAGUCUGUAAGUGUUCAUAAGUUUCUAUAUGUCUUCUCUAUUUGUGAUUUUGGUUACAUUGCUUUAUAGAAGAAAAAGAAAAGGGCCACACGUUUGAUUAUGAGGAAAAUUGGUGGAUAACGUGUUGGAUUUUUUUAAGGUUAGCAUAUUGUAUUCUUUUGUCCCUGGUAACAAGAAUUUUGGCAGAGCAAUUUUAUGACUAUUGUUGAAGGCAUCCGGUGGAGUUGUGAAACGAGCCGUUCUUUUGUUAUUGGAAUUGAAUUGAGUCAAUUGACUGUUUGUCUUUUUGGCUUUCGGUAUGGUUCUAAUGUUUUCCAUGUAGUUUGGUCCGGUUUGAUUUUCUCUUUGGUCGAUUCUUUCUUUAUUGGUACCGUUGGUUUCUCUUUAUUUCACUUCUCUCUGGCUUCUUCUGAUUGCAUUGCAUUUCUCCCUAUUGUACUUCUAUUCUGAUUGUAUUGCACUUCUCCCUAUUGCACUUCUCUUCUGAUUGCAUUGCACUUCUCCCUAUUGUACUUCUGUUCUGAUUGUAUUGCACUUCUCCCUAUUGCACUUCUCUUCUGAUUGUAUUCCACUUCUCCCCC